Molecule: ribosomal RNA, 499 nt
Filed under: uncultured bacterium
Lineage: Bacteria
Description: bacterial SSU rRNA
Rfam family: Bacterial small subunit ribosomal RNA
Source: RNAcentral
UCCUGGCUUAGGACGAACGCUGGCGGCGUGCCUAACACAUGCAAGUCGAACGGAGUAAUUAAGCGGAAGUUUCGGAUGGAAGCAUAGUACUUAGUGGCGGACGGGUGAGUAACGCGUGGGCAACCUGCCCUGUACCGGGGGAUAACACUUAGAAAUAGGUGCUAAUACCGCAUAAGCGCACAGCUUCGCAUGAAGGUGUGUGAAAAACUCCGGUGGUACAGGAUGGACCCGCGUCUGAUUAGCUAGUUGGUGGGGUAGAGGCCUACCAAGGCGACGAUCAGUAGCCGGCCUGAGAGGGUGACCGGCCACAUUGGGACUGAGACACGGCCCAAACUCCUACGGGAGGCAGCAGUGGGGAAUAUUGCACAAUGGGGGAAACCCUGAUGCAAGCGACGCCGCGUGAGUGAAGAAGUAUUUCGGUAUGUAAAGCUCUAUCAGCAGGGAAGAAAAUGACGGUACCUGACUAGGAAGCCCCGGCUAACUACGUGCCAGCCGCUGC